This is a long non-coding RNA of Dermacentor andersoni, 1856 nucleotides long. RefSeq lists it as uncharacterized. NCBI's taxonomy places the organism in Eukaryota, Metazoa, Arthropoda, Arachnida, Ixodida, Ixodidae. The record is from RefSeq and is a predicted model, not a curated record.
AUUGCCACAAUGUCUGGAAAUACGGACAGCAGGAUUUUUUACAGGUGCAGUAAAAAACAAUAGAUCUGGAUCGUCAUGCUACAUGACACUACGCUGCACGUUUAUGGAAUACCCUCGAAACUCCCAUGAAUGCUUAUCCAAUGCCAUAAGAAGUGCACCUAUAAAAGACAAAUUAAAGAAUUAGCCUUCACUAAGCAUUCUGGAUCGUGAAGUAAAUGAUGACUGCUUACAACUCCUCACUGUAUUGCAUGCACUCAUAAAUUAGCAGCACUUCUGAGAGCUGGCCAACACAUAAUUUACAUUGCUCAUGUUCUUUAAUGCAUGUAACAUUUUCCGCUAUUGCAUUUAGUAAGCACUUCCCCCCACCGCACCAUGAUUGCCAGAAAGCCCUGAGGUGUAAGAUUGUCACAGACGUGCCCGAAACCAAGCCCAACCUCGAACUACGAGGAGAAACGAAAAACAGCCUCUCACCCCAUGCGGCCACCUACCUCCUUCCAGUGUUGUAAGCACAAAGUCAAAACAUAGCCAGUUCCAGACACCCGCAAGCCGGACAAAGUGUGCACCCAUUCGUUGCUCCAUUGAUGCCUCGUAGUUCACCUUUAAGCAUGUGCUUCCAAGACAACGAGUAUAACAUUGUCCCCUGCCACUCCUGAACCCGUGCAUUGUGAGCUGCACACAUUUCCACACUGACUCUCACAUGCAUCAAUUAAGAGCUUUCCUUCACUGUUUUCAUACUUCCUAAAUAUGCAGUAAUGUUUCUGCAGUAGACUGAGGAAUGCACAUUUGAGGCCACUGAUGCAAAACAAAAGAAAGCGCACGAGAAAUAAAAUGAGAAGAAAAAAAAAAAGCAGAUGCCACGCUAACAACAAAUACAUAGGAUGUGAACACAAAAGAUGAACAGCUGCGCAGUUGUGCUGUAAGGGCAGACAGAUCACAGCGCAGCUGCGGUUCGUGCCUGGCAGCAGACGCCGCCGCCGACAACAGACGACACAAAAGAUGGCCAGAUGGAGGUACUAUAUGCAAGUGACAACAGGAAAGCUCCAUGAAGAGAAACUCCAUGCUACUAAAGUUCUCUGAGCGUCUUGACUCCGAAGCACGACCAUCUAAGACUGUGUGAAAAAGCUAGAAAUGAGUGCAUCUGCAAUGACAGCAUGCAAAACGUUUUGGAAGACCAAAGUCUGCAACAGCGUUGCACGUUGUCAACAUGAUCCUGGAAAAAAUUAAUUACAGCUCACGACGAUCUACGUGUCAAGUGCCCCAAAAUGAAGGAACUUCCGACUAUUCUGUCAGAAUUGGAAAAAAGCUGCUCUGUUCCCUUACAAGGUUCAGAAAGUUUGUGGACUGACUGAGCGCGAGGGACCAGAGUUGCUUAAGUUCUUCAGCAGCGCAGCAAGUCACCAAAGCAUUUUUUUCUACAGGCAAGGCCGUUAUCACCAAUGGCCCCUUCAUAAACCCCGAAAACGAUAGCCUAUUGGUUACAACCAGUGAUGUUUUCCUUGCAGCGAGCCUUUUUACACCUGUCUAAGGCAGACAAGCCCAUCGGCAGCGUUUUCUUUUUCUUUUCACACAACUUCUGAGAUUUUCUCGCCAACCAUUUAUUUAGCAUUUUUUUCUUAAAGGUAGCCGUAAAGCAGCCUUUAAAUCUCGAAAAGCUUGUUUUCAACCAGGCUCCAGAGAUGUUGAGAGGGUGUUCAUGCAGUUUGUUUUGACAUCAAUUAGUGAUAUUGUAUUUAAAACUGACCCCAAUUUUCCCAGAUAGUUUGUCUCUUUUUCAUGCAUCAGUACAUGCGUGGUACCUAACUAUACCAAAACAAAUAUUCUUGCUGUAAAUAUAUGUGUCUGCGUUUGACUAUUAA